GACGAACGCUGGCGGCGUGCUUAACACAUGCAAGUCGAACGGUAAGGCCCUUCGGGUACACGAGUGGCGAACGGGUGAGUAACACGUGGGUGAUCUGCCCUGCACUUCGGGAUAAGCCUGGGAAACUGGGUCUAAUACCGGAUAGGACCAUGGACUUCACGGUUUGUGGUGGAAAGCUUUUGCGGUGUGGGAUGGGCCCGCGGCCUAUCAGCUUGUUGGUGGGGUAAUGGCCUACCAAGGCGACGACGGGUAGCCGGCCUGAGAGGGUGUCCGGCCACACUGGGACUGAGAUACGGCCCAGACUCCUACGGGAGGCAGCAGUGGGGAAUAUUGCACAAUGGGCGCAAGCCUGAUGCAGCGACGCCGCGUGAGGGAUGACGGCCUGGUUGUAACUCUUCAAUAGGGACGAAGCGCAAGUGA
This 420-nucleotide ribosomal RNA is filed under the name uncultured bacterium. RNAcentral describes it as "bacterial SSU rRNA". It matches the Rfam family "Bacterial small subunit ribosomal RNA", at positions 28 to 456 of the family's 1533-position model. The record is from RNAcentral.